Molecule: long non-coding RNA, 4748 nt
Organism: Myxocyprinus asiaticus (Chinese sucker)
Lineage: Eukaryota; Metazoa; Chordata; Actinopteri; Cypriniformes; Catostomidae
Exons: 3
Source: RefSeq, a predicted model, not a curated record
CAAGGCCAAACAUUCAAGGGUAUGUAAACUUUUGAUCAGGGCCAUUUGAGUGAUUUCUGUUAUCAUUAUGAUUUAAAAAGGAGCCAAACAACUUUGUGAUAAUAAAUGGCUUCAUAUGAUCACUAAAAGUAAGCUACUUUGAUCGAUAGGUUUGUGUAAAAAAUAAAUCGAUAAUUAAAACUUUACUAACUUUAAAACAAAUCACUUUCUGCCAGCAGUCAAUGCAUCACAUAGUUUUCAUGUGACGCAAGCGCAUCGGCGUGUUCACGUGAGAAGUCGGAAGCUGCGCUUGGUUUACAACAGGAAGGAAGUCACGCAAGAGUUCUGUAAUUUCAACCAGCAUCUCAGAGCUGGACAAAAGCAACAAUUUAAAGUAAAAAAAAUCGAUUAUCGAUUUGUUUCUUACACAAACCUGUCGACUUGCUUCAGAUGACAUUAAUUGAUCAAAUGGAGUCGUGUGGAUUAAUUUUAUGCUGCCUAAAUGUGCCUUUUGUACAGUCAAACUUUGGUAGCCGUUUCCUUGCAUUGUAUGGACAUACAGAGCUUAAAUGUGCUUAUAAAAAACUUCAAUUCGGUUCUGCUGUGGAAGGAAAGACAUACAUAUCUGAGAUGGCUUAAAAGUGAGCAAGUGUAAGGACAGUGAAAUUGUUGCACUGUUAGUUUGACAGCAACUAUAUAUGGAGCCAAGCAGCAUUCAAAUCAAACAUCACUUGACAGUGCAAGCCCAUCCUCAACCAAAGCACAAGCACCAGUCUUCACCACAAUGCUUUCUCUCCCCAUUGCAGGAUUACCUGCUUGCUGGCAUUCUCUCCUAUCACUCUGUGAGGUGAAGGUGAUGAUGACUGACAGUCUGAGAUACUGUCUGUUUUGUCAUCUUAAGCAACAUCAUGGAAUCACUCAACUUGCAGCUGAGCAGCAAAGUGAGGACUUUGAAAAAUUGAGGACUUCAAAGCAAUCUACAUGAGUAAAGCAUGAUAGUUUUAAUUAUUUAAUUGAAUUGCCCAUGCAAAAGUCACUUCCAUUUUACUUGGGUGUUCUGGGUGAUUUCCAGGGCAUUACUAGAUGGUGGAGUGUUGAUGAUGAUGUUUUGGGUGGUUGCUAUUAAGCCCAAGUCAAUAAGCCGUCCUCCAUGUCUCUAUGAUAUUAUCGUCUCUAGGUAUGAAUCAGGCCCUUCCUUCAAUGUAAAUCCAUGGGAUUUUUUUUGCUGUUUUAAAUUGUAAGUUUCAUAGCUUAAAAACAUAUUAACACACUUCUCCUCAACAAGCUGCAUGAUUUGAGGUGUCAUGCAUGCCUGUAGCACUAAGGUUGCAUGCUGAAGUUUAAUAUGUAGGGUUAGGGGUGUGUUCAGUGAUGGUUGCAUGCACCACUAAUUACUAUCAAAGUGAAUAAUAUACAGUAUAGAAUGUAUACAUACAUUACAUACUGUAUACUGUACACAUAUAAGAAUGCCAUAGCUUAACACUUUUUGGUUAAAACCUGGUUUUGUGGAAGAUCACUAAAGACUGAACCUUAUUUUAUUCCUUUUAACAUUCCAUAUCCAAGACAGUGUGUGCCCCACUUUGAGAUAGAGCAGAUGGUUCAUAGAGAUUGCACAGCUGAGUUAUCAGCACCAAUCAUUCACCCAAGUGUGAAUGCUAGACGUGUGGCACAAUGCAAGAAGACACACACAGUGUCUCCUUAGCAGCAAACCUGGGCAACCUCUGUGAACAGGCUUGACGGAUGCUCUACUCACAGAGCGAAAGCGCCAGCAGGUUUUGUCUUUUUUUAGAAAUUCAACAGAGAUACAAGUUCUACACAUAUUUUGUUAUCAUUUAAGUCAUUAUUUAAAAUAUCUUUACAAAAUCUAAGGCAAUGUUUAAAAAGACCUUGAGUUUGUGGCUUUUAGUCCUUCAUCAUCUAGUAUCGUGUACCACAAAACGCUGACAAAAUUCACAUUUAGCAGAUACAGUAUACACAUUUAAAAUUUACGGUACUUAUAUUCAGAGAAAAGUAACCAAAAAAAAAGUAUGACUCAUGUUGCACUACCCAGAUUUUUGCCCAAUCAAAUGCUCUCUAGAAUGAGAAUGUCCCUCCCGCUAAUACCACAUAUAAUCGAAUAGCACAUGGAAAAUCAGGCCUUACAUCCCAAAUGGGAUAAAUCAGCCUCCGAAGGGAGAACAAUCAUGGCAGCCACAUUGUAGAGUCGUUCCAAACUAAAGUGCUCAAAAAUAAAAGGCCCUUUAAAAUCAGUGUUUUCGAAGGGUUUAACUGAAGGACACUUCGCUCCCAAAUGGACUGAAACCAGACCAUAUGUCAUUAAUCUGCACAAGGUUUGCAGUUAUAUCACGAAUUAAACUAGCUGCACCUGCAAACACAUUUUGGUUCUGUAAACCUGUGACAAACCCUUUAUCUCUGGAUAGAUUACUUCUACAUCGUAAUCUGGUACUGAUUACAAAUUACAUGAAUAAAAUUGUAGCCAGUAACGUAAUCUCUUAAUUUAAAAAAUAAUCUAAUCUGAAUGCUUUUUGAUUACUUUUGGAUUACUUCUGACCUAAUUCUUGUUUAUUUUAUGUCACAUGAAUUUGACUAGGAUUUGACUAGGACCAUUUGGACAUAAUGUUACUUAAAUACAUUAAAGAAAACAUACUUAAUGGGUCAAAAUAUGAGAAUUGAUAUGAUUGUUUUAAGUGUGUGUUUUACUGGCUAUUUGCCUGUUUCUGAGUGAAAUAAAAAGAUACUUAAAAGUACUACUUGGCAUUACAAAUGCCAUCCAUGUGUGGUAACAUCAGACCAGUUAUAUUUGUGAAUCAACGUUACAAAAAAGUUGUCUCAAAAGUUGUCACAAAAACUAAAGCGCAUUCAUAUGCAUUUCUGAAGCUGAGUACAAAAGCAAUUUAAAAAAAUUUAACUUUACCACACAAAUGCAAUCAGCUGAGCAUAAGGUGUGAAUUAGCGCUCCAUAUUUAGUAUAAUUAUAGCCACCUGGUUGAUGGCUGGUAUCAGGUCUGUGUGUGCAGUUCCACAAUACACACAACCCCUUACGAAAACACUCAGAGACUUACCACCAUAUAACAGCUCUAGGUUGAUUUAGAAUGAAACUUUUUAAAUAUUUAAAAAGAAGGCAUUAAUAAAUUAUGAAAAAUUUACAGUUGCCUGAUUAAUAUGUAACAUGUAAUUCAUAAAAAGUAACUGUAAUCUUUUUUUAUUUUAAAAUUUAUUUUAAAAUGUUUUUAAAUCGAAUUACUUAUAAAGUUCAUAUUUUUGUAAUCCGAUUACAUAAUACAGAUUGCAUGUAAUAUGUAACUUGUCAGCACUGUUUAUAAAAGCCUUUAAUUAAUCAGUGUAACCUAUUUAAACCAAUGGCUUUCUGUUUUACUUUUGUUUGAAAUAGAAUAAUGUUUAAAUAAAAGAGUUCAGAUUAAAUAAAUACAUACAAUUUGAAUGUACAUUUCUUUACUUCUUUACUCUGCAAAACAUGAGGCUUAAACAUUUUUCAUAAAUAAUAAAAAAACAUUUAUUUUUGGUUUGGAUUCUAAAAGUUAACAGUUAGUCAAGUAUAAAUAUUUCUGAUUUAUGAACUUAUUUUCAUUGGCGUCAGUGUUUGUGCGACAGUAUCAGUGGCUCCUUGGAAACAGCUGCUUAGAAAGAAGAUGUUAAGGUGUGUUCUGAAUAUAAUAACAAUAUAAUUACCAUUAUAUUGGCUAUUUAGAAAAAGGUGGACAAGCUCUUUGAUAUGACCAGUCUAACUAUUGGUAUUAACAGGAAAUAUGAAGCCAGGAAAGAAAACUGCACUUGAUAAGCAAAUUUGUAAAAUUUUUAGAAAAAUGUAUUUGAUCCGACACAGAAACAUUUCGUUUUUUCAGUGUCCAAGGUUUUUCCCAUUAAUCGUUUCAGGUCUGCACUAAAAACAAGUAUUCAUAUUGCUCAUUUUGUGCCAUGGGUGUACAGUACGACCUUGAUUUGUCAUUUAAAGUCUUGUAUGGACAUCUGGAAUGCAUAGCAAAGGACAGUAGCAUGCACAGACCUCAGCAGAGACAGACGUGGAAGAAUAAAAAAGGCACAUAAUUUUUUUCUUGUCUCAUAAUUCUUUUUACUUUUCUCAUCUCUGCUCCCUUACUUUUUUAUUUCAUCUCUGCUGCUUCCACUCUGACCUCAUCACCCUCUUUAUACAACUGACACUUAUAUUAUUUAUCUUCAUUUCUUUUCACAUUAACAUAAUGUUAUUUACUGUAUUAUGUCAUUAAUAUUUAGGACCUUAUAGAAAUAAUGUGGCUGAACCAUGGUACAAUGAUGGUGUCAGAAUGGUUUUGAAUUGUUAUCAUGGUAGCCUACAUGUCCAAAAAAUGAUAAUACCAUGGUAUUUUUCUGAAAAUGAUUAGUCUAAGCUUAUUAGUUUAAACAAAAAUCAAACCGGCUUUGGCUGAAUCAGACAUCUCCUUCAGUUUGUCAAUAUACUGUAAAAGACAUAUUAAAUUUAUAUCACUGAAAGCGACUUGACCGCUUCCAUUUUAAUUAAUAAAUCUGUCUACACUACAGGUGUGCGAUGUUGGAAAUAUGGUUGUAAUCGAGUAUUAUUCUUUUGAUGUACUUACAACACAAUACAUAGAGUGGACUUUUUAUCUGACCUGUUACUGACCUGUAACGCCACUUUGAUGUUCCGGGGCGAAUUCAAAACAACAUUUUUGCUCCCUUGAAGGGCACUGCUGCGAGAAGGGAUGCUACUCGAAAGCUUGUUCAAAAUGAAAGUGAGAAAAUUCAUCUUUCUUCAA